GAAUACUGUUAACAGGCACCUAAAUUGAUCAGUCUGUGUGAACGCCACGCAGUGACUCCCCAUGUGUGGUUAUUUCAACCAGGUGCAGCUGAUCCACAACGUGAAUUCUGCCUUCCAGAACAGCUCUUAUAUAAUCCUCUGAAUCAUCUACCUGUUGCCACAUGUAUAGAAGGGC
Molecule: long non-coding RNA, 175 nt
Organism: Thalassophryne amazonica
Lineage: Eukaryota; Metazoa; Chordata; Actinopteri; Batrachoidiformes; Batrachoididae
Exons: 3
Source: RefSeq, a predicted model, not a curated record